CUACGGGAGGCUCCAGUGAGGAAUAUUGCACAAUGGGGGGAACCCUGAUGCAGCAACGCCGCGUGGAGGAUGACGCAUUUCGGUGUGUAAACUCCUUUUAUAUGUCAAGAAAAUGACGGUAGCAUAUGAAUAAGCGCCGGCUAACUCCGUGCCAGCAGCCGCGGUAAUACGGAGGGCGCAAGCGUUACUCGGAAUCACUGGGCGUAAAGGACGCGUAGGCGGGUUGAAAAGUCAGGUGUGAAAGCCUACAGCUUAACUGUAGGACUGCACUUGAAACUCUCAAUCUAGAGUAUGGGAGGGGCAGAUGUAAUUAGUGGUGUAGGGGUAAAAUCCGUAGAUAUCACUAGGAAUACCUAAAGCGAAGGCGAUCUGCUGGAACAUUACUGACGCUAAGGCGUGAAAGCGUGGGGAGCAAACAGGAUUAGAUACCCCAGUAGUC
RNAcentral lists this ribosomal RNA (439 nucleotides) under uncultured bacterium. RNAcentral's name for it is "partial 16S ribosomal RNA". It matches the Rfam family "Bacterial small subunit ribosomal RNA", at positions 339 to 795 of the family's 1533-position model. The record is from RNAcentral.